Molecule: ribosomal RNA, 253 nt
Filed under: uncultured bacterium
Lineage: Bacteria
Description: partial 16S ribosomal RNA
Rfam family: Bacterial small subunit ribosomal RNA
Source: RNAcentral
UACGUAGGGUGCAAGCGUUGUCCGGAAUUAUUGGGCGUAAAGAGCUCGUAGGCGGUUUGUCGCGUCUGCUGUGAAAACUGGAGGCUCAACCUUCAGCCUGCAGUGGGUACGGGCAGACUAGAGUGCGGUAGGGGAGAUUGGAAUUCCUGGUGUAGCGGUGGAAUGCGCAGAUAUCAGGAGGAACACCGAUGGCGAAGGCAGAUCUCUGGGCCGUUACUGACGCUGAGGUGCGAAAGCGUGGGGAGCAAACAGG